Molecule: ribosomal RNA, 420 nt
Filed under: uncultured eukaryote
Lineage: Eukaryota
Description: bacterial SSU rRNA
Rfam family: Eukaryotic small subunit ribosomal RNA
Source: RNAcentral
CAAUAGCGUAUAUUAAAGUUGUUGCGGUUAAAAGCUCGUAGUUGAAUAUCUGCUUUGGGAAACCUCGUCAUUCAACUGAUUGGUGAGUGUUUUCCUUAGCAUUCUUCUGAGAUCAGGCAUGUGCUUAAUUGUGCUACGCCGUCUCGGGACAUAUUACUUUGAGGAAAUUAUAGUGUUCCAAGCAAGCAUAACGCUUUGAAUAUAAUAGCAUGGAAUAAUGUUAUAAGGCUUUUGCCCUAUAUUGUUGGUUUUAUGGGCUUAAGUAAUGAUUAAUAGGGAUAGUCGGGGGCGAUUCGUACUUAACUGUCAGAGGUGAAAUUCUUGGAUUUGUUAAAGACGAACUACUGCGAAAGCAUUUGCCAAGGAUGUUUUCAUUAAUCAAGAACGAAAGUUAGGGGAUCGAAGACGAUUAGAUACCAU